GUGACUGUUCCUGAGCCUGAGCAGUGCGCGAUCUGAAGAGCUGGUGCAAACAUCCUCAUCACUCACACCAUCACAUUUUACUCCAAAUGGGUUCCUUCUCAUGGUGUUCUAUGCCGUGCAUGCUGAGGAAAGCUUUCCUGGAUGUCAAUAGCAGAUGAGAACAUCAGAGGUAAAGUCUGGAGGAGAAAUGAUCACGCACACUGCAGAGCUUCAUGAAGGUGAAACACAAUCCAUCUUGCUUCUACAAAAAGAAAAGGUGUUUGUGUACAGCUAUAAAAAACCUUUGGAAAAGAAGACAGGUUUGGAGAUGGAGAUGAGCAUCACAUAG
This 328-nucleotide long non-coding RNA is filed under the name Mus spicilegus (steppe mouse). RNAcentral describes it as "lncRNA (ENSMSIG00000023449.1)". Lineage: Eukaryota; Metazoa; Chordata; Mammalia; Rodentia; Muridae. The record is from RNAcentral.